CUACGGGGGGCUGCAGUGAGGAAUAUUGCACAAUGGGGGGAACCCUGAUGCAGCAACGCCGCGUGGAGGAUGACGCAUUUCGGUGUGUAAACUCCUUUUAUAUGUCAAGAAAAUGACGGUAGCAUAUGAAUAAGCACCGGCUAACUCCGUGCCAGCAGCCGCGGUAAUACGGAGGGUGCAAGCGUCACUCGGGAUCACUGGGCGUAAAGGACGCGUAGGCGGGUUGGAAAGUCAGGUGUGAAAUCCUACAGCUUAACUGUAGAACUGCACUUGAAACUUCUAAUCUAGAGUAUGGGAGGGGGAGAUGGAAUUAGUGGUGUAGGGGUAAAAUCCGUAGAUAUCACUAGGAAUACCUAAAGCGAAGGCGAUCUCCUGGAACAUUACUGACGCUAAGGCGUGAAAGCGUGGGGAGCAAACAGGAUUAGAUACCCGGGUAGUC
RNAcentral lists this ribosomal RNA (439 nucleotides) under uncultured bacterium. RNAcentral's name for it is "partial 16S ribosomal RNA". It matches the Rfam family "Bacterial small subunit ribosomal RNA", at positions 339 to 795 of the family's 1533-position model. The record is from RNAcentral.